This 466-nucleotide ribosomal RNA is filed under the name uncultured bacterium. RNAcentral's name for it is "partial 16S ribosomal RNA". It matches the Rfam family "Bacterial small subunit ribosomal RNA", at positions 28 to 507 of the family's 1533-position model. The record is from RNAcentral.
GAUGAACGCUGGCGGCGUGCUUAACACAUGCAAGUCGAACGGAAAGGCCACAGCUUGCUGUGGUACUCGAGUGGCGAACGGGUGAGUAACACGUGGGUGAUCUGCCCUGUACUUCGGGAUAAGCUUGGGAAACUGGGUCUAAUACCGGAUAGGAAUCACAUGUGGGUGUGUGGUUGGAAAGCUUUUGCGGUAUGGGAUGAGCUCGCGGCCUAUCAGCUUGUCGGUGGGGUAAUGGCCUACCAAGGCGUCGACGGGUAGCCGGCCUGAGAGGGUGUACGGCCACAUUGGGACUGAGAUACGGCCCAGACUCCUACGGGAGGCAGCAGUGGGGAAUAUUGCACAAUGGGCGCAAGCCUGAUGCAGCGACGCCGCGUGGGGGAUGACGGCCUUCGGGUUGUAAACUCCUUUCGUCAGGGACGAAGCGAAAGUGACGGUACCUGGAUAAGAAGCACCGGCUAACUACGUG